RNAcentral lists this ribosomal RNA (435 nucleotides) under uncultured bacterium. RNAcentral describes it as "bacterial SSU rRNA". It matches the Rfam family "Bacterial small subunit ribosomal RNA", at positions 43 to 524 of the family's 1533-position model. The record is from RNAcentral.
CAGGCCUAACACAUGCAAGUCGAACGAAGCCUUCGGGCUUAGUGGCGCACGGGUGCGUAACGCGUGGGAAUCUGCCCUUGGGUUCGGAAUAACAGUUAGAAAUGACUGCUAAUACCGGAUGAUGACGUAAGUCCAAAGAUUUAUCGCCCAGGGAUGAGCCCGCGUAGGAUUAGCUAGUUGGUGAGGUAAAGGCUCACCAAGGCGACGAUCCUUAGCUGGUCUGAGAGGAUGAUCAGCCACACUGGGACUGAGACACGGCCCAGACUCCUACGGGAGGCAGCAGUGGGGAAUAUUGGACAAUGGGCGAAAGCCUGAUCCAGCAAUGCCGCGUGAGUGAUGAAGGCCUUAGGGUUGUAAAGCUCUUUUACCCGGGAUGAUAAUGACAGUACCGGGAGAAUAAGCUCCGGCUAACUCCGUGCCAGCAGCCGCGGUAAU